Triticum aestivum (bread wheat) is the source of this 467-nucleotide long non-coding RNA. RefSeq lists it as uncharacterized. The record is from RefSeq and is a predicted model, not a curated record. Lineage: Eukaryota; Viridiplantae; Streptophyta; Magnoliopsida; Poales; Poaceae. The transcript is spliced from 3 exons.
UGUGAAUCGACGACUCUCGCUCGCCAAGACUUACCGGGGUCUUCCCUCUACUCCGCCUCUCCCCAUCUUGUUCGCCCAUCGCAGCGACGGCGCAUCGCCUAGUCUUCGCCAGCCAGCCCCAAGGAAGCAACAGCAGUGGAGCAAUAUUUCUCAAAUAGAAACCAAUCACCAGAUUCAGAUUAUGAUGUAGGCACUUCAAGGCCACCUGUUAGAUGCAGGUAAAAUGCAUCAAACAUCGUUGAUAUCAUAACUAUGGGCAAGUUGUGAGUGAUACAUUGGUAAUUAAUUGACUGGAAUGGUCGAAAGAGAGAACACUGUAAUGUGAGUGAUUGUACAUGCUUCGUUUGAUUUAUAGUAUUAUACACUUUCAAUGUAACUUGACUAUUUUGCCGAUGUUUUCGGGAAGGAGAAGUUGCACCUGAAGCUAUGAAGUUAUUUUCGAAAUUACUCUAUUCACAAUAUGUAAA